Molecule: ribosomal RNA, 255 nt
Filed under: uncultured bacterium
Lineage: Bacteria
Description: partial 16S ribosomal RNA
Rfam family: Bacterial small subunit ribosomal RNA
Source: RNAcentral
UACAGAGGGUGCGAGCGUUGUUCGGAAUUACUGGGCGUAAAGCGCGCGCAGGCGGCCCUUUAAGUCUACCCGUGAAAUGCCGGAGCUCAGCUCCGUGCACGCCGGGGGAUACUGGAGGGCUGGAGACAGGUAGAGGCAGGCGGAAUUCCGGGUGUAGCGGUGGAAUGCGUAGAGAUCCGGAAGAACACCAGAGGCGAAGGCGGCCUGCUGGGCCUUGUCUGACGCUGAGGCGCGAAAGCGUGGGGAGCAAACAGG